Molecule: ribosomal RNA, 296 nt
Filed under: uncultured Burkholderiales bacterium
Lineage: Bacteria; Pseudomonadati; Pseudomonadota; Betaproteobacteria; Burkholderiales
Description: partial 16S ribosomal RNA
Rfam family: Bacterial small subunit ribosomal RNA
Source: RNAcentral
GUGCCAGCCGCCGCGGUAAUACGUAGGUGCAAGCGUUAAUCGGAAUUACUGGGCGUAAAGCGUGCGCAGGCGGUUUUGUAAGACAGUGGUGAAAUCCCCGGGCUCAACCUGGGAACUGCCAUUGUGACUGCAAGGCUAGAGUGCGGCAGAGGGGGAUGGAAUUCCGCGUGUAGCAGUGAAAUGCGUAAUAUGCGGAGGAACACCGAUGGCGAAGGCAAUCCCCUGGGCCUGCACUGACGCUCAUGCACGAAAGCGUGGGGAGCAAACAGGAUUAGAUACCCUGGUAGUCAAGGGCG